ACCUUUUUAUCUCUAGGAAAUAAUGCAAAAGGUGUCUCAAGGCUCCUGACCAGUGAACAGAGAUUUGAGAAAGACAGCCAAGCUCAUGUUUUCUCCUGAUCAAGAAAAUCAUCCUUCCAAAGCCCCAGUAAAAUAUGGCGAACUCAUUGUCUUAGGGUAUAAUGGGUCUCUCCCAAACGGCGACAGAGGAAGGAGGAAAAGUAGGUUUGCUUUGUUUAAAAGACCUAAGGCAAAUGGGGUGAAGCCUAGCACCGUGCACAUUGCAUGCACUCCUCAGGCCGCCAAGGCAAUAAGCAACAAGGACCAGCAUAGCAUAUCGUAUACUUUAUCUCGAGCCCAGACAGUGGUGGUUGAAUAUACUCACGACAGCAACACUGAUAUGUUUCAG
This 388-nucleotide long non-coding RNA is filed under the name Rattus norvegicus (Norway rat). RNAcentral describes it as "long non-coding RNA NONRATT009612". Lineage: Eukaryota; Metazoa; Chordata; Mammalia; Rodentia; Muridae. The record is from RNAcentral.